AACGAACGCUGGCGGCAUGCCUAACACAUGCAAGUCGAACGAGACCUUCGGGUCUAGUGGCGCACGGGUGCGUAACACGUGGGAAUUUGCCUCGGGGUAUGGAAUAACUCAGGGAAACUUGAGCUAAUACCAUAUAAUGUCUUCGGACCAAAGAUUUAUCGCCCUGAGAUAAGCCCGCGUAGGAUUAGCUAGUUGGUGGGGUAAAGGCUCACCAAGGCGACGAUCCUUAGCUGGUCUGAGAGGAUGAUCAGCCACACUGGGACUGAGACACGGCCCAGACUCCUACGGGAGGCAGCAGUGGGAAUAUUGGACAAUGGGGCGAAAGCCUGAUCCAGCCAUGCCGCGUGUGUGUAAGAAGGUCUUCGGAUUGUAAAGCACUUUAAAGUUGGGAGGAAGGGUAAGUAACCUAAUACGUU
RNAcentral lists this ribosomal RNA (416 nucleotides) under uncultured bacterium. Its description in RNAcentral is "bacterial SSU rRNA". It matches the Rfam family "Bacterial small subunit ribosomal RNA", at positions 29 to 470 of the family's 1533-position model. The record is from RNAcentral.